CCACACAAGAGACGCAAACGCAAUGACGCUUGACGGCUUGAGGCUUGAGUGCUUGACGCUGCAGAGCAGCCGAAGUGCCGAACAGACAGAGACAAGAGACGGCGCUUGGCUUCUGCCUUCUCCUUCCCUCACGCUCUCGGUCUCUCCCUCUCUCUCCCCAAAACCUAAACCCUAGAGCCGCCAGCCGCCAUUGUCCGUGGAGCAGAGCAGGCUGCAGCACCGCCGCGCCGGUGUGCGGCGUGCCGGCGUGUGCCCUCCGCCGUCUGCCCAUCUGUUCUUCGCUGUCUGCUCAAUACACGGUGAGCAGUCUGUUCUUCGCUGUCUGUUCGUCUUCCCCGACGGCGCCCUCGCCCUGUAUUGCUGUCCGGCCUCCGACGCCCACUUGCCUCCAUGGAAGCCCAAGAACCGGAUGCACACGAAGGUCAUUCACGUCCGCCAAUACCACGAAUUUCCGGAUCAAUGAUUAAGCGCACGAGCACGAGGAAGAAGCUUAUGCCAGCAGCUAAGAAGAUUUCAGCGGCUGCUAGCACUGCACCUUCAUCAUCCACAUCUUGUUGUGGUGCUGUCUCUGUAUCUAUAGAAAAGCAACUUGAUGUUGUGAUGGAGGAGGGGCAAGGGGAGGAAUUGGAGGUUAUGUUGUCGGAAUCAGAUGACAGUGAAUUUGAUCUUGAUGAUGAGUUUCCACCUUCCACUGAUGGAGAUGAGUUGUCAAAAACUGAAAAGACAAAGAGAGGAGGAAAGAGGUCAAGAGCUGGUAUUCAGUUGUCCCCAUCCAAGUGCAAGGCGAAUAGAGUAAAGAGGGCUGGUUGCUGGAAGUAUUUUAAGGUGGUCACUGUUGCUUCUAGAAAGGAACUUGGGGUUAUGGAGACAAAAGCCAAGUGCAAGUUCUGUCAUAGAUCUUAUUUGUACCAUCAAGGGGGCAGCACUACAACACUAAACCGACACCUAGACAAGUGCACACAGUAUUUGAACAAGCUGGCACAAGCUAAGAAAAAUCUUGCUCAAGGUAGUCUCUCCUUUACUUCAGAUGGUGGACCUGUUGUUGUUAAUCCCACUGAAUAUGAUCAUGAGCACACUAGAGUGUUAAUUGCCAAGAUGAUAAUUGUCCAUGAAUAUGCAUUUAGAAUGGUAGAGCAUAAAUGGUUCAAUAUCUUGAUGAAAUGGAUGAAUAACAAUUAUGAAUCUAUUGGUAGGAAGACUAUUAAAAAUGAAUGCAUGAAGAUCUAUGAAUCUGAGAAAGAACUAAUCAAGAAGAGUCUUAGAGAGGCUGAAUCAAUAAGUUUAACCACUGAUUUAUGGACAUCAAAUCAAAACAUUCAGUAUAUGUGUUUAGUGGCACAUUAUGUUGAUGUUGAUUGGAUCUUGCAAUGUCGUGUUUUGAACUUUAUUGAAUUGGAUCCUCCACACACUGGUAUUGUCAUAGCUCAGGCUGUUUUUGAAUGUUUGGUUGAAUGGAAAAUUGAGGAUAAGAUCUUGACAAUCACUCUUGAUAAUGCUUCUAGUAAUGAUUCUGCUAUUACAAAUCUGAAGUCCAAGUUUCUUGCUAGAAAGAACUCGAGCUUUGACCCUAUGUACUUUGUAGAAGUUUGCAACCAAUAUUCUGUUAAAGUAGGACAAGGGUUGUGCCUUGAUGUUAAAACAAGGUGGGGUUCAACAUACAAAAUGCUAGAUUCUUGCCUUGACUAUAAGGAGGCCUUUGGUUACUAUUCUGAAAUAGACAACAACUAUGAAUGGAAACCUUUAGACUAAUGUGUCCAUAGAUGAGAAACACUUUGAUCUGCUUAACUAUUGGAAGGUGAAUAGUCAUAGAUUUCCUGUGGUAUCUUCUAUGGCAAAGAGGUUCUUGGCUGUUCCAGCUAGCAGUGUGUCAUCAGAAUCCACUUUUAGCACUGGGGGUAGGAUCCUUGAUGAUUACAGGAGUUCAUUGAAGCCAGCAACAGUUCAGGCUUUGGUGUGUGCUUCUAGUUGGAUACGCGGGUCUCGAAGUUCACCUAUUCUUUUAACUGGAGAAGGUGAUGAUGGUGACAUCGAGUCCGUGGAAUUUCCAAAGUGUGUGGUGGCAAGUAAUUAGGCACAUGGUCACAUACUCACAUGGAGGAGAUGGAGGAGAGGGAGAGAUAGGACCCGAGAGAGGACAUGAGAGGCACAUGGUCAUUAUAUUUUGUUGGCUGUAACUGUAAGCCUGUAAUUGUUGGUUGCAACUGUUGCUAACCUGGCAUAUUUUGUUGGCUCCCUACAACUUUGUCCUGAACUCCUGAACCUGAAGUCCUGAUCUAUAAUUGUUGGCUGCAUCACUGCGUGUAUUUUGGUUCUAGAACUGAAACUCUGAAAGUAUGGAAUUAUGGAUUAUGGAAUGGAACUAUUAUGAACUAUAAGUCUAUAAUUGGUGGCUGCAUGUAUUUCAAUAUACAAUUAUUUUUUGUUUGUUUAAGUGAAUGAGAUGGCUGCUAUUUUGUAAA
Zea mays is the source of this 2459-nucleotide RNA transcript. RefSeq lists it as uncharacterized. NCBI's taxonomy places the organism in Eukaryota, Viridiplantae, Streptophyta, Magnoliopsida, Poales, Poaceae. The record is from RefSeq and is a predicted model, not a curated record. The transcript has 5 exons.